GCCUAGAUCAGACAGGUAAGAGUAGGGUAAAGGUGGAUAGAGAGGGUGUGGUCGCAUCGUUAGAAGGACGUAAAACGAAGUCUCGGUCUGCAGAACUAUCAGUGCCUCAGGUUCGCAUUAACUCAAAGGACCACAUACAGCUUGAUAAAAACGUAUCCCCUGCCUGCAUGUACCAUUCAACACGCCCUUCAACAGGCCCUGCUACCCACAAUGAUUUGUGAACAUGUGAAGACCCCGCACUAAAAGUCCAUGUUCUCCUGGAUCCAUGUCA
This is a long non-coding RNA of Labrus bergylta (ballan wrasse), 271 nucleotides long. RefSeq lists it as uncharacterized. The record is from RefSeq and is a predicted model, not a curated record. NCBI's taxonomy places the organism in Eukaryota, Metazoa, Chordata, Actinopteri, Labriformes, Labridae.